CGGAGGAACAUCUGUGUGAGGUUUUGUGUUGGAAACUUUGGCCUGUCUCUAUAUCCCUCAAUGUGACCCCAGGUGAACUAGAGGACCAGGAAAACAACUCUCUGAAUGUGACCCCAGGUGAACUAGAGGACCAGGAAAACAACUCUCUGAAUGUGACCCCAGGUGAACUAGAGGACCAGGAAAACAACUCUCUGAAUGUGACCCCAGGUGAACUAGAGGACCAGGAAAACAACUCUCUGAAUGUGACCCCAGGUGAACUAGAGGACUUGUAAAACAAUUCUCUGAAUGUGACUCCAGGUGAACUAGAGGACCAGGAAAACAACCCUCUGAUAUCU
This 335-nucleotide long non-coding RNA is filed under the name Salmo salar (Atlantic salmon). RNAcentral describes it as "lncRNA (ENSSSAG00000116179.1)". Lineage: Eukaryota; Metazoa; Chordata; Actinopteri; Salmoniformes; Salmonidae. The record is from RNAcentral.